UGGCCGCAGAAUACUGUGCUAAGGUAGCAUAAUCACUUGUCUUAUAAUUGAAGACUAGAAUGAAAGACUAAACGAGUAAAUUACCCACUCUUAUUACCCUAUGAAACUAUAAUAAGCAUCAAAAUAUCCUUAUUCAUAGAAAAGACGACAAGACCCUACUGAACUUUACUAAAGUUAAACUGGGGCAGUUUAUUAACAAAUUCUUAUUACUCUCACCUUCCAACAAACCCUUAAAAAGAACAAACAAGUUACCAUAGGGAUAACAGCGCAAUUUUUCUUCUUAGCUCUUAUAUAAAGAAAAGAUUACGACCUCGAUGUUGAAUUAAUCAAUCUAAUAGAAGCAAAACUCUAUAAGAAAGUCUGUUCGACCUUUAAUUUAUUACAUGAUUUG
RNAcentral lists this ribosomal RNA (391 nucleotides) under Leptonetela thracia. Its description in RNAcentral is "partial large subunit ribosomal RNA". It matches the Rfam family "Bacterial large subunit ribosomal RNA", at positions 1928 to 2607 of the family's 2925-position model. The record is from RNAcentral. Lineage: Eukaryota; Metazoa; Arthropoda; Arachnida; Araneae; Leptonetidae.